GGGGGGAGUUGAGUCAACUAAAGCUUUAUAUGUUAUGAUUGAUACAUAGAUAAUAGGCCCUUGAUACAAGACUAAGAGCAUGAUUAAUGUAUGUUUCAGUUAGGCAAGAAGUUAGGGAGCAAGAAGAAGAAGCCCCCUACUGCCUACCGUAAAGUUUUGGAGGUGUAUCAGGACCGUGCCGGAUUGGCAGGUGAGUGGGAGUCAUGUACUUUGAACCAUAAGCAUUCUUAAUUUAUUUUCAUGAAUGUCGCCAAGUAUUAAUUGAUUCCACUUGAGCAUAUUGAUUGAUAUUAUAGUAGAUUACUCUAUAAUCUUGUUUCUCCAUGCUUGAUUAUUUUGUAUAUGCAUUUGAGGGAACAUUGAGAGGAAUUACAAGGGGUAGAAGAGUAGUCAAAUUGGUUCCGAAUUGUGAAAUGACUU
Molecule: long non-coding RNA, 420 nt
Filed under: Phoenix dactylifera (date palm)
Lineage: Eukaryota; Viridiplantae; Streptophyta; Magnoliopsida; Arecales; Arecaceae
Description: long non-coding RNA (PDAC_LNC020137)
Source: RNAcentral